This is an unclassified non-coding RNA of Pongo abelii (Sumatran orangutan), 148 nucleotides long. It matches the Rfam family "Metazoan signal recognition particle RNA". Rfam says of the family: The signal recognition particle (SRP) is a universally conserved ribonucleoprotein. It is involved in the co-translational targeting of proteins to membranes. The record is from Ensembl. Lineage: Eukaryota; Metazoa; Chordata; Mammalia; Primates; Hominidae.
GCUGGGUAUGGUGGUGCACACCUGUAGUCCUAGCUACUCUGGAGGCUGAGGUAGGAGGAUCACUUGUGCCCAGGAGUUCAAGGUUGCAGUGAGCUGUGAUGGUGUCACUGCACUCCAGCCUGGGCAACAGAAUGAGAUGCUGUCUCUC